ACUUAAAUAGCUUAUAGAGUAGAGCAUAAUAUUGAAGAUAUUAAGGAAAUUAAUUUAUUUUUAAGUA
This 67-nucleotide transfer RNA is filed under the name Propalticus sp. PRO01. Its description in RNAcentral is "tRNA-Phe". The record is from RNAcentral. Lineage: Eukaryota; Metazoa; Arthropoda; Insecta; Coleoptera; Propalticidae.